CCUACGGGGGGCAGCAGUGGGGAAUAUUGGGCAAUGGGCGAAAGCCUGACCCAGCAACGCCGCGUGAAGGAAGAAGGCUUUCGGGUUGUAAACUUCUUUUGACAGGGAAGAGCAGAAGACGGUACCUGUCGAAUAAGCCACGGCUAACUACGUGCCAGCAGCCGCGGUAAUACGGAGGUGGCAAGCGUUGUCCGGAUUUACUGGGUGUAAAGGGCGCGUAGCCGGGCUGACAAGUGAGAGGUGAAAUCCGGGGGCUCAACCCCCGAACUGCAUUUGAAACUGUUGGUCUUGAGUAUCGGAGCGGCAGGCGGAAUGUCUAGUGAAGCGGUGAAAUGCGUAGAUAUUAGGCAGAACACCAGUGGCGAAGGCGGCCUGCUGGGCGACAACUGACGGUGAGGCGCGAAAGCGUGGGGAGCAAACAGGAUUAGAUACCCUUGUAGUC
Molecule: ribosomal RNA, 442 nt
Filed under: uncultured bacterium
Lineage: Bacteria
Description: partial 16S ribosomal RNA
Rfam family: Bacterial small subunit ribosomal RNA
Source: RNAcentral